Molecule: unclassified non-coding RNA, 1463 nt
Filed under: uncultured Magnaporthales
Lineage: Eukaryota; Fungi; Ascomycota; Sordariomycetes; Magnaporthales
Description: sequence contains 18S rRNA gene, ITS1, 5.8S rRNA gene, ITS2, 28S rRNA gene
Rfam family: Eukaryotic large subunit ribosomal RNA (bases 530-1463)
Source: RNAcentral
GGAGGGAUCAUUAAAGAGUUGAAAAACUCCCAAAACCACUGUGGACUAUACCUUUUAUCGUUGCUUCGGCGGUGAACGAGUUAGGGCCCUCCUCCUUCGGAGGGGGGAUCCGAACUGGUAAGCCGCCGGAGGUUACCUAAACUUUGUGUUUUUUAUAGUGUAUCUCUGAGUAUUAAAAAAAAAAAACAAGUCAAAACUUUCAACAACGGAUCUCUUGGUUCUGGCAUCGAUGAAGAACGCAGCGAAAUGCGAUAAGUAAUGUGAAUUGCAGAAUUCAGUGAAUCAUCGAAUCUUUGAACGCACAUUGCGCCCGCCAGUAUUCUGGCGGGCAUGCCUGUUCGAGCGUCAUUUCAACCCUCAAGCUCUCCGGAGUUUGGUGUUGGGGCGCCUGGGGCUUUUCGACCUCAGGGCCCUCAAGUCCAUCGGCGGGACCGCCCGGACACUGAGCGCAGUAGUACUAUUUCGCUCGGUGGAAUCUUCCAGGGCGGGUCGACCCGGCCGCUAAACUCCCCCAAUUCUAACCAAAGGUUGACCUCGGAUCAGGUAGGAAUACCCGCUGAACUUAAGCAUAUCAAUAAGCGGAGGAAAAGAAACCAACAGGGAUUGCCUCAGUAACGGCGAGUGAAGCGGCAACAGCUCAAAUUUGAAAUCUGGUCCCUUGGGGCCCGAGUUGUAAUUUGCAGAGGAUGCUUUCGGCGCGGCACCCACCGAGUCCCCUGGAAUGGGGCGCCACAGAGGGUGAGAGCCCCGUAUGGUGGGACGCCAAACCGGUGUAAAGCUCCUUCGACGAGUCGAGUAGUUUGGGAAUGCUGCUCAAAAUGGGAGGUAAAUUUCUUCUAAAGCUAAAUACCGGCCAGAGACCGAUAGCGCACAAGUAGAGUGAUCGAAAGAUGAAAAGCACCUUGAAAAGGGGGUUAAAUAGCACGUGAAAUUGUUGAAAGGGAAGCGCUUGUGACCAGACUCGCGCCGGGCGGAUCAUCCAGCGUUCUUCGCUGGUGCGCUCCGCCCGGCUCGGGCCAGCAUCGGUUCCACCCGGGGGACAAAAGCCGCGGGAACGUAGCUCUCUUCGGGGAGUGUUAUAGCCCGUAGCAGAAUACCCUGGGGGGGACCGAGGACCGCGCUUCGGCAAGGAUGCUGGCGUAAUGGUCACCAGCGUCCCGUCUUGAAACACGGACCAAGGAGUGCAUUUCCAUGGCGAGUGUUUGGGUGUAAAACCCGCACGCGUAAUGAAAGUGAACGUAGGUGAGAGCUUCGGCGCAUCAUCGACCGAUCCUGAUGUAUUCGGAUGGAUUUGAGUAAGAGCAUAGCUGUUGGGACCCGAAAGAUGGUGAACUAUGCCUGUAUAGGGUGAAGCCAGAGGAAACUCUGGUGGAGGCUCGCAGCGGUUCUGACGUGCAAAUCGAUCGUCAAAUAUGGGUAUAGGGGCGAAAGACUAAUCGAACCAUCUAGUAGCUGGUUCCUGC